This 99-nucleotide small RNA is filed under the name Salmonella enterica subsp. enterica serovar Enteritidis. Its description in RNAcentral is "RtT sRNA". It matches the Rfam family "RtT RNA", at positions 34 to 130 of the family's 130-position model. Rfam says of the family: This family represents a bacterial cis-regulatory element known as RtT RNA. The exact function of RtT is unknown although it is thought that it may be involved in changing the cellular response in relation to amino acid starvation. Lineage: Bacteria; Pseudomonadati; Pseudomonadota; Gammaproteobacteria; Enterobacterales; Enterobacteriaceae. The record is from RNAcentral.
GACUAAGGUUCGAUUCGAGCGACAGCGAGAAAGCGUUGCCGCAGGCAACGACCCGAAGGGCGAAACGCGCAGCGCUGAGUCAUCCUUCCCCCACCACCA